GAUGAACGCUGGCGGCGUGCCUAAUACAUGCAAGUCGAGCGAACGGACGAGAAGCUUGCUUCUCUGAUGUUAGCGGCGGACGGGUGAGUAACACGUGGAUAACCUACCUAUAAGACUGGGAUAACUUCGGGAAACCGGAGCUAAUACCGGAUAAUAUUUUGAACCGCAGGGUUCAAAAGUGAAAGACGGUCUUGCUGUCACUUAUAGAUGGAUCCGCGCUGCAUUGGCUAGUUGGUAAGGUAACGGCUUACCAAGGCAAGGAUGCCUAGCCGAGCUGAGAGGGUGAUCGGCCACACUGGGACUGAGCCACGGCCCAGACUCCUACGGGCGGCAGCAGUAGGGAAUCUUCCGCAAUGGGCGAAAGCCUGACGGAGCAACGCCGCGUGAGUGAUGAAGGUCUUCGGAUCGUAAAACUCUGUUAUUAUGGAAGAACAUAUGUGUAAGUAACUGUGCACAUCUUGACGGUACCUAAUCAGAAAGCCACGGCUAACUACGUG
This 497-nucleotide ribosomal RNA is filed under the name uncultured bacterium. RNAcentral describes it as "partial 16S ribosomal RNA". It matches the Rfam family "Bacterial small subunit ribosomal RNA", at positions 28 to 507 of the family's 1533-position model. The record is from RNAcentral.